GACGAACGCUGGCGGCGUGCUUAACACAUGCAAGUCGAACGGAAAGGCCCUGCUUUUGUGGGGUGCUCGAGUGGCGAACGGGUGAGUAACACGUGAGUAACCUGCCCUUGACUUUGGGAUAACUUCAGGAAACUGGGGAUAAUACCGGAUAGGAGCUCCUGCUGCAUGGUGGGGGUUGGAAAGUUUCGGCGGUUGGGGAUGGACUCGCGGCUUAUCAGCUUGUUGGUGGGGUAGUGGCUUACCAAGGCGUUGACGGGUAGCCGGCCUGAGAGGGUGAACGGCCACAUUGGGACUGAGAUACGGCCCAGACUACUACGGGAGGCAACAGUGGGGAAUAGUGCACAAUGGGCGGAAGCCUGAUGCAGCAACGCCGGGAGCGGGAUGACGGCCUGCGGGUUGUAAACCGCUUUCGCCUGUGACGGAGCGAGAGUGACGGUAAUGGGUAAAGAAGCACCGGCUAACUACGUG
RNAcentral lists this ribosomal RNA (468 nucleotides) under uncultured bacterium. Its description in RNAcentral is "partial 16S ribosomal RNA". It matches the Rfam family "Bacterial small subunit ribosomal RNA", at positions 28 to 507 of the family's 1533-position model. The record is from RNAcentral.